Molecule: long non-coding RNA, 2964 nt
Organism: Aegilops tauschii subsp. strangulata
Lineage: Eukaryota; Viridiplantae; Streptophyta; Magnoliopsida; Poales; Poaceae
Source: RefSeq, a predicted model, not a curated record
GUAUCUUAGUCUUGUUCUUCGUGUGUAGGAAAUUGAAAAAGGAGUUCCAAGUAGAUUGUAAAAAUCUCGUGUCUUCUCUCUGAAAUUGACACAAAGGGUAAAAUAUUUCCAUUUUUCGUUUGCGACAUUCCUUUGAACCAUAGGCUCGAAUAAUGCCACCACGGAUUUUUUUUCCUAUUCUUAUGUGUUCCCUCCACUUUUCCUUUGAACCAAAGGAAGCCCAAGAGUUUUUGUUUUGUUUGAUUAGUCAUCUUGUUAGGGAUUUCAUAUUAGUACUUGUACAAAUGUCGAUCUUCAAGUAUGUGCUCGAUGAGUUUUCCUAGACGAGUAGUUUUUCUUUUUUGAGCAAAAGGGGUUUCCCACCGAUUUUCAUUAAGAAAACCAUAUAUAAAGGCUCACAUAUGAUCUACACACGCACACCAAACUACAUCGUAUCUAAGUGCUUCACAGACGCAGCCUAGAUCACUGGGUACAACUAGAGCCUAGACUGGCUAAGCUACAAACCAGAUCACAACCAUAACAUCUAACUAGUUACUAAGCUCCCAAGAAAUCGAGCCUCCUGGUGCAUCGUGUGUGAAAAGGGCGAGUGAGCCAAUGUCGUCAGCGGAUGACCGACGUGGGCUGGCUCGCUUGGCCCAACUUCCUAGCACGAGACGUAACACGAUGUCCCCAACUUCUCACGUAUGUUCUGCUGAUAAAAAAAAUCUUCCUCACGUAUGUCCUCUCGCGCUUCCUGGCCCUCUUCUCUAUCUCCCCAAACGCGGCGCCCGCCGCCGCCUCCAACCCUGCCUGCCUCCCCAUCUAAUCUCCAUCACCAGUCGCCCAUCCAGCCCCGCAUCGCUAGCAAUUACCCGACGGUGCGUCGACCAUCCGCAUGCUCACGCGCCCCACGACGAACCCUAGCCAACGUUCCUUUUCUCGGGUGGCGCCAGACGGCAGCUGGGGUGAGGAUGAGAGCAAGAAGGGGGAGCAGCUUUUGGUGUGUGUGUAUGUGGUGGGCGUGGGGGUGGGGGAGCUGGAGUUUGAGAUGUGGUGGAAGGUUCAGGUUCAAUAGCAACACCCUUAAUUUUCUUCCUCCCAACUAUGAUUGCUGGCACCAAUCACACAAACAGCAAGAAUUUUUAUCUGUAUUCGCGACCUUGUUUCCCCUGAUUUUGGUGUAAAAGUCGUGCUUUGAGUCCUCUCCUCCAGUUGAUGCUUUCACAAUCAAUUUCUCUCUGCUAAUAUUUACUAAGUUCAAUAUUUUUCAGUAGUAGCAACUUAAACUACUGAGUGUACUGUGUGUUUGAGGUCUCGAAGAUAUGACAUGUGGUUGGAUUGCUUUUUCCCUUGCGAUGUGAGGGUCAUUUUCCGUACCAUUAAUAGUAUUACUUAGUAGCAUAGCGACUAAGUUUUCAGUAUCAUUAACAUUACUUUGUAACAUAGCCACUAAGUGUUGUUCAUCAGGAUGUCCAUGUCCUCAAAACAUUGGCGAUGCGAGAAAAAAAUCAUAUGCAAUAUUUUCAGGCCGCAAGAAUUUAAAUUUAUGCUGCAAUCUCAUUUUAUUUUUAUUUUCUCAUUGGCAAUAAGCUGCACGGACCACAUGUUAGAGAAAGUAAUAACCUUUUUAUUUUAAAAAGCUUAGUACCUUUGCGCCUCAAUAGUUUGGUUGUAGCUGGAUGACUGUAUUGUGAACAUGUGAAAAAAGCUUUUGCCACUACCUCAUGCUAACAGGCAGUCCAUAAUGGUUAUUGUUCAAAUAGUGGUGAGGUAUAUGUAUGUGUAUUUUUCACACGGUGAAGCCUAUAUUUUUUUCUAGCCUAAUCUAACUUAAAAGUUGGUUCUCUUUUCUGUAGUUGCAUUCAUACAUCAAACAUCCAUGUUGUCGUGGUUAGUAAAUACAGAACCAUUUUAAGUGGACCGUGUUUAUGCAAAACAGAUCUCGCAUGCUUGAGGUUAUAUAAUUUUUUCUCUUUACCAUUUGAUACUCCGAAGUGAUCAAAUUGACAAUGACAAACCACUUUAAUAUAAUUGGCCGCUACACCUUCCUACGCAAUGUUAGCAUGCUCCGAUGCACUUUUUUAUACAUUCCCCUGCUAUAAUAUGCUACAUGUGCUAGCCAUUUUUCAACUAGUUGCACUAUUCAUGCCUACAAUAUAUUUGCACUACUUUUUUAUGUAACCCUUGAUGCAUACUUGAAAUCGAUCAACAUCGGCGAGGAAGGUCAGCUGCCCACUGCUGCUCCAUUUCCUUUUCUGAGCACUGCCGCCCUUGAGGAGAGGUCCAGCAGCAAUUGUUGCUGCUCCUGCCUUCCUUUGUCAUCAAAGGUCUGGUGCCGUCAUCUCACCGUAGCUCCCUCCCUACUAGAAUUAGAGCAAUGCCAUCGACCGGUGGUUGCUGCUUCCUCUUCCUUCCCAGCCAGUGUGUCGAGGGCAUGGAAUCUUCUUGAAGGACCAAUAUGCUGGGAAACUAAUAUUCAAACCCCCACAACAUCAAAGUCAUUCCUGCAGGCCUUGUCACAUAAUAAAGUGGCAAAGUAUAACUUGGUUUUAGUUUCGGCUGCAAAACGGAUUUAUGAUGUUCAAGCAUUGAUGGAGUCAUUUAUUAGGGAAAGUAGUUCACACUUAAGGGUAUGCACAACCAAACCCCAUUGGUACUUGUUCAGAAUACCGGGAAUACAAUACUGCUACUAACUUGCAUUGCAAUGUCUGUGCAACCUUGAAUAUCAAGAUGGUUGUUCAAUCGCCUGAGAGUGAUAUUGUAUAUGUUGUUGGAAUUGCUGGUUCCUCAAAGCUAAAUGUUUAUGGGUUCUUGCCUCCAUAAAACCAUUAGUAUCUAUAUGUCGUGGUGUUAGAGUUCUUGCCUCCAUGCAUUUUUUGUUCUGAUAUAUGCAGCAAAGAAGAGAUUAUGAAGACGCUUUCCUAGCUUUAGUUGGAAUGAACACAUUCUAUUUGCCUUGUUUGUUGUUUCGGUGCUAGAAUCAUC